RNAcentral lists this ribosomal RNA (460 nucleotides) under uncultured bacterium. RNAcentral describes it as "partial 16S ribosomal RNA". It matches the Rfam family "Bacterial small subunit ribosomal RNA", at positions 338 to 795 of the family's 1533-position model. The record is from RNAcentral.
CCUACGGGAGGCUGCAGUGAGGAAUAUUGGUCAAUGGACGAGAGUCUGAACCAGCCAAGUAGCGUGAAGGAUGACUGCCCUAUGGGUUGUAAACUUCUUUUAUAUGGGAAUAAAAUGUUCCACGUGUGGGAUUUUGUAUGUACCAUAUGAAUAAGGAUCGGCUAACUCCGUGCCAGCAGCCGCGGUAAUACGGAGGAUCCGAGCGUUAUCCGGAUUUAUUGGGUUUAAAGGGAGCGUAGGUGGAUUGUUAAGUCAGUUGUGAAAGUUUGCGGCUCAACCGUAAAAUUGCAGUUGAAACUGGCAGUCGUGAGUACAGUAGAGGUGGGCGGAAUUCGUGGUGGAGCGGUGAAAUGCUUAGAUAUCACGAAGAACUCCGAUUGCGAAGGCAGCUCACUGGACUGCAACUGACACUGAGGCUCGAAAGUGUGGGUAUCAAACAGGAUUAGAUACCCGUGUAGUC